This 507-nucleotide ribosomal RNA is filed under the name uncultured bacterium. RNAcentral describes it as "bacterial SSU rRNA". It matches the Rfam family "Bacterial small subunit ribosomal RNA", at positions 19 to 518 of the family's 1533-position model. The record is from RNAcentral.
CUGGCUCAGGAUGAACGCUAGCGACAGGCCUAACACAUGCAAGUCGAGGGGCAGCACAAGGAGCAAUCUGAGGUGGCGACCGGCGCACGGGUGAGUAACACGUAUGCAACCUGCCUGUAAGCGGGGAAUAACCCGUUGAAAGACGGACUAAUACCGCAUAAUACUAAAUUACUGCAUGGUAAUUUAUUUAAACAUUUAUGGCUUACAGAUGGGCAUGCGCAUGAUUAGCUAGUUGGAGAGGUAACGGCUCCCCCAAGGCAACGAUCAUUAGGGGUUCUGAGAGGAAGGUCCCCCCACACUGGUACUGAGACACGGACCAGACUCCUACGGGAGGCAGCAGUGAGGAAUAUUGGUCAAUGGACGAGAGUCUGAACCAGCCAAGUCGCGUGCAGGAAGAAUUGUCCUAUGGAUUGUAAACUGCUUUUGCAGGGGAAUAAAGUGCAUCACGUGUGAUGUUUUGUAUGUACUCUGCGAAUAAGGAUCGGCUAACUCCGUGCCAGCCGCCGC